GGUCUUCGGAUGCUGACGAGUGGCGAACGGGUGAGUAAUACAUCGGAACGUGCCCAGUGAUGGGGGAUAGCUCGGCGAAAGCCGGAUUAAUACCGCAUACGCCCUGAGGGGGAAAGUGGGGGAUCGCAAGACCUCACGUUAUUGGAGCGGCCGAUGGCUGAUUAGCUAGUUGGUAGGGUAAAGGCCUACCAAGGCGACGAUCAGUAGCUGGUCUGAGAGGACGAUCAGCCACACUGGGACUGAGACACGGCCCAGACUCCUACGGGAGGCAGCAGUGGGGAAUUUUGGACAAUGGGGGAAACCCUGAUCCAGCAAUGCCGCGUGUGCGAAGAAGGCCUUCGGGUUGUAAAGCACUUUUGUCAGGGAAGAAAUCCUUUGGGCUAAUACCCUAGGGGGAUGACGGUACCUGAAGAAUAAGCACCGGCUAACUACGUGCCAGCAGCCGCGGUAAUACGUAGGGUGCAAGCGUUAAUCGGAAUUACUGGGCGUAAAGCGUGCGCAGGCGGUUGUGUAAGACAGGUGUGAAAUCCCCGGGCUUAACCUGGGAAUUGCAUUUGUGACUGCACGACUAGAGUGUGUCCGAGGGGGGUGGAAUUCCACGUGUAGCAGUGAAAUGCGUAGAUAUGUGGAGGAACACCAA
RNAcentral lists this ribosomal RNA (640 nucleotides) under uncultured beta proteobacterium. Its description in RNAcentral is "bacterial SSU rRNA". It matches the Rfam family "Bacterial small subunit ribosomal RNA", at positions 75 to 712 of the family's 1533-position model. The record is from RNAcentral. Lineage: Bacteria; Pseudomonadati; Pseudomonadota; Betaproteobacteria.